CGAGCCUGAUGCAGCCAUGCCGCGUGUAUGAAGAAGGCCUUCGGGUUGUAAAGUACUUUCAGCGGGGAGGAAGGCGAUGGGGUUAAUAACCUUAUCGAUUGACGUUACCCGCAGAAGAAGCACCGGCUAACUCCGUGCCAGCAGCCGCGGUAAU
Molecule: ribosomal RNA, 154 nt
Filed under: uncultured soil bacterium
Lineage: Bacteria
Description: partial 16S ribosomal RNA
Rfam family: Bacterial small subunit ribosomal RNA
Source: RNAcentral